Molecule: RNA transcript, 2707 nt
Organism: Malania oleifera
Lineage: Eukaryota; Viridiplantae; Streptophyta; Magnoliopsida; Santalales; Ximeniaceae
Gene name: zinc finger CCCH domain-containing protein 1
Exons: 7
Source: RefSeq, a predicted model, not a curated record
GGCAACCCGUGGGGUCAACCGGGUCAGUCUGACCCGCUCUGAACUAAAAAUUGAAAGGAAGGGGCUACGUCCCGAAGCGCCUCCCUUUCUUGCCCCAAAACCCUAGGAAGCUUCCAUAGCUGCAGUCUGCAGGCGCCUUGCACCGCUGUGACAACGAAGCUGCCACCGAUCGUCGACGGCCUUCCCUUGUCUAUUACAGCAACCUUUAAGGCUUCAGCCCAAGCCAUGCAAUGGCUGACUCAGGGGGUCAUCAAUUCUCUGAACGAGCGAACUCAGAGGAUCAUCAGCAUUCAGAGCCUGUUUGCAACUUUUUUAGAAAGCCAAUAAAGAGCAAGAACAUUCGAAAAAGAACAUUUAAUGAAGAUGAAGAUGAAGAUUCAAAAACUGAGUCCUCAGUUGUGCAUAAUUUGAAAAAACCCACUAGGCCUGAUAAUGUGCUACACUUUUCAACUGGACCCUCCAAGUUCUCAAUGCCCACAGCAUCAAAUGUAGAAUCUCAGAAGUCAAUCUUUCAGUUUGAAUCAUCCAAAGAGAUUCAGGUUCAACAUGAUAGCAAAGCAACAGCAACUCUAGAAACUGAGACUGAGUUUUCAAAAGAUGCUCGGGCAAUCCGAGAAAGAGUUCUUAAGCAAGCAGAAGAGGCUUUGAAGGGAAAGAACACUAGCUCUGGAGGUGAAAAAUUGUAUAAAGGUGUUCAUGGGUAUACUGAUUACAAGGCCGGGUUUCGAAGAGAACAAACAGUUUCUGGUGAGAAAGCUGGGGGGUCACAUGGGCCUCUUAGGGCUUCUGCUCACAUCAGAGUUUCAGCAAGGUUUGAUUAUCAACCAGACAUUUGUAAGGAUUACAAAGAGACUGGUUACUGUGGGUAUGGAGAUGCGUGCAAAUUUAUGCAUGAUCGAGGGGAUUAUAAGCCUGGUUGGCAAUUGGAGAAGGAAUGGGAGGAAGCAGAGAAGGCAAGGAAGAGAAAUUUGGCUUUGGGAGGGGAUGACAUUGGUGAGGGUGGAGAUGACCAGAGUGAGGAAGAUGAGGAUGCUUCACUGCCCUUUGCAUGUUUCAUUUGCAGGCAGCCAUUUGUAGAUCCUGUCGUAACAAAGUGCAAGCACUACUUCUGUGAGCAUUGCGCAUUGAAGCACCACUCGAGAAACAAAAAGUGCUUUGUUUGCAACCAGCCUACCCUUGGCAUAUUCAACACAGCUCAUGAGAUUCGCAAAAAGAUGGCUGCAGAGAGAAAGUAACUGAUUUUUCUCUAGUUUGUUCCAAAUUUUUCUUGGAAGAUGCCUUUCUCCCCUUUGUAACUGGUAUUACAUAUGAAUGAAGAUCUUAUCUCAUGUGCAUCCUUCAAGCCAUCACAAUGACUAUCCUGGACACAACACUUGGAUUUAGAUAUUCUAGAUUUUUGGAAAUCACAGAGUUCUCGGUAUCUGGAGUUAUCCAUGAUAGCACGUGAUAUCCUGAGCAUAUUGAUUAUCACAGUUGCAUCUGAGUUGGCUUUUGGCAUGGAGAUAGAAUAUUAAACAAAUUUUCGAAGCCGCUUGGUGCUGGAGUAUGUGGAGGCCUUGAUAUGAGCCUGAGAUUGGGUAGAUGGAGUAACACUGCUGAGGAGUAUGAGUCCUUAGUUGAAGACUUAUCCAAAGUGACCAUAAUUGCUUCGUAACUCUGAAUCAUUAGAUGUUCAGAGACAUUCUUUUGGAAGUUCUUGGAUCCUAAGUUUACAAGCAAGUAAUCAAGAAAGUAACGAGCACAUGUUAUCGAAAAGGUUAAGGCAUAUAUAUAUAUAUAUAUAUAUAUAUAUACAUAUACCCAUCCAUUUUCUUGUUUUAGUUAAAGCCUGCUUUACCAGGUAUAUCUUUUCCAUUUCAGCAGAAAAUAGGUGUCCUUCCUGUGGUUUGGGUUUCAAGCAUCAUAAAGAUUAGCACGAGGUUCCAGAACUAUUAAUUCUGAUUUAGAUUGUUGUAGUUUUUUAAUUUAAAUUUGAGUUGGCUUAACUAUAUUAUCCUUUGAUUGUAUUUUUGAGAUUUUAUUUUAUUCUCACAGAAAUUUGACUUACUGCCUAGCACAUUGAUAUUUGAUCGAUAAAUUGAUCUUUAGGAUCUGCCCCCUAGUUUAAUUUAAUAGAAUUCGUGAUUACUAGUGCCAUUUUCUGGCUCCUGUUUUCUGUAACAUUGACAGCAUCUGGUGGCUGCAAACAUUUAUGGUAAAACUGCCUAGGCACGCUGCUAGUUUGUUGGCUGCAUACGCAUAUGGUAUAUCAGAAGGAAAUUAGCGUUUUCUUGCAUUUGUUCAAUUUAAAUUGAGAUUGUGCGUCAUUCAAGUUUGUUUAAUUACCAUGAUCUAUCACAUAAUUGAUAAUACCAUUCAAAAACUGCAGUGAUGUUUACUCUUUUGAACAGACAUUAGUAUUCGUUCAGUUCAUUGUACCUUUCUAGUGUUAUUUAACUCUUAAUUAUUUGCUAAUUUUGUUUCUGCAGAUAGUAUGUAUAUCAGGCUUGAAUAUGCAUUAUUACCAUCAGACUGCAGAUAGAGUUCCAUUUUUAACAAGAACGAUUUGAAGCCCUUUUUUUUUUUUUUUUCUUUUGUUAUUCAACUUAAACAGUGCUUUUGUUUUGUCGUCUUUUUUUUUUUUCAAUAGCUUGAGAAGCACAACCAAUUUAAUAGGUUGUGAUUUAAUCAUUUCUUGCUUGGCUUGAAAAUAAAAAAGUCUAUUAAA